GAUGAACGCUGGCGGCGUGCCUAAUACAUGCAAGUCGAGCGAACAGAUGAGGAGCUUGCUCCUCUGACGUUAGCGGCGGACGGGUGAGUAACACGUGGAUAACCUACCUAUAAGACUGGGAUAACUUCGGGAAACCGGAGCUAAUACCGGAUAAUAUAUUGAACCGCAUGGUUCAAUAGUGAAAGACGGUUUUGCUGUCACUUAUAGAUGGAUCCGCGCCGCAUUAGCUAGUUGGUAAGGUAACGGCUUACCAAGGCAACGAUGCGUAGCCGACCUGAGAGGGUGAACGGCCACACUGGAACUGAGACACGGUCCAGACUCCUACGGGAGGCAGCAGUAGGGAAUCGUCCGCAAUGGGCGAAAGCCUGACGGAGCAACGCCGCGUGAGUGAUGAAGGUCUUCGGAUCGUAAAACGCUGUUAUGAGGGAAGAACAAAUGUGUAAGUAACUAUGCACGUCUUGACGGUACCUAAUCAGAAAGCCACGGCUAACUACGUG
Molecule: ribosomal RNA, 497 nt
Filed under: uncultured bacterium
Lineage: Bacteria
Description: partial 16S ribosomal RNA
Rfam family: Bacterial small subunit ribosomal RNA
Source: RNAcentral